UAUAGAUUAUCUAGAGGGAGUAAGAUAAUAAAGAGUAAAAAUCAACGGAAAAUGAAUAUAUGGUUCAUAUAAUAGUUUCAGUAAUCAUGUGUCUAAUAUGAGUGUAUUAGAGUUGGUAUGUUUUAUGUUAGAAUGUCUGUCUUAGAUUUAGUUGUGUUAGACAUAGUAGUUUUAGUGUUGUGUAUUAUGAAAAUCUGCCAUCUUUGUAUUGCCUUUGCUUUUUGUCUCCUUAUUACUGAAUAUUUUAUGGAAAUAUGUUUUAAUAUGUAACCCAUCUUGAGCUGUGAGGAGAGGCGGGUAAGAAAUAAAAUUAUGAUCAUGAUUAUUAUGAUUAUUAUAUAAAUUAGUAAAAACCCUGCAGAAUAUAUAAACAGAGAGGGCUGACUACAUAAAUCAAUGAUAAAAUUACCAUAUUUCUUCAAUUCUAAGAUGUCAGCGAUUAUAAGACAUUCACUUUCAAUACCAUCAACAGAAAAAAGCGUUACAGUAGAGUCUCACUUAUCCAAGCUAAAUGGGCCGGCAGAAGCUUGGAUAAGCGAAUAUCUUGGAUAAUAAGGAGAGAUUAAGGAAAAGCCUAUUAAACAUCAAAUUAGGUUAUGAUUUUACAAAUUAAGCACCAAAACAUCAUGUUAUACAACAAAUUUGACAGAAAAGUAGUUCAAUAUUCAGUAAUGUUAUGUUGUAAUUACUGUAUUUACAAAUUUAGCAACAAAAUAUCACGAUAUAUUGAAAACAUUGACUACAAAAAUGGCUUGGAUAAUCCAGAGGCUUGGAUAAGUGAGACUCUACUGUAUUUACAUAAAAACCACUCACAAUUCUAAGAUGCACUCCAAAUUUAGAGAUGUGCUUCUUAGAACUGAAAAAAAUGCAGUAUUAUUUUAUUCAUGAUGAUCCAUAUAUAUUGGUGGAUUUUAAUCCUAAUGAAUGUUUUGGUCUUUAACGGUUUCAGGAAAGAAGAAUGGCUUCAAACAGAGGCAAGAGGUACUGCAUUGAGAAACUAUGGGUUGACGGGAGCUAGAGCUUGACAUCACCUCGUCUUGCGGAUUCGAACGGCCAACCUCCAGGUCAGCAGUUCAGCGGCACAAGGGUUUAACCCAUUGCGCUACACUCCCUCCCCUUCUCCAAUCAAAGACUUAUACCUAAUUCCCUGUCAAUCCUCUUGCACAUAAAUUUCCUCUACUUGUCUAUUUUUAUUAAUAAUUAGUCACCCUUUCUCCAAAUCAUUUAUCCAAAAUCUCACCUGAUCUGAACCUGCUACUGCUCUGACACUCAAUAAAUGGUUUCCAUAUAGCAUCAA
Long non-coding RNA from Anolis carolinensis (green anole), 1297 nucleotides. RefSeq lists it as uncharacterized. The transcript has 2 exons. NCBI's taxonomy places the organism in Eukaryota, Metazoa, Chordata, Lepidosauria, Squamata, Anolidae. The record is from RefSeq and is a predicted model, not a curated record.